This 76-nucleotide transfer RNA is filed under the name Acidimicrobiia bacterium. Its description in RNAcentral is "tRNA-Asn". It matches the Rfam family "tRNA". From Rfam's summary of the family: Transfer RNA (tRNA) molecules are approximately 80 nucleotides in length. Their secondary structure includes four short double-helical elements and three loops (D, anti-codon, and T loops). Further hydrogen bonds mediate the characteristic L-shaped molecular structure. tRNAs have two regions of fundamental functional importance: the anti-codon, which is responsible for specific mRNA codon recognition, and the 3' end, to which the tRNAs corresponding amino acid is attached (by aminoacyl-tRNA synthetases). tRNAs cope with the degeneracy of the genetic code in two manners: having more than one tRNA (with a specific anti-codon) for a particular amino acid; and 'wobble' base-pairing, i.e. permitting non-standard base-pairing at the 3rd anti-codon position. The record is from RNAcentral. Lineage: Bacteria; Bacillati; Actinomycetota; Acidimicrobiia.
UCCGGGGUAGCUCAACCGGCAGAGCGUCGGACUGUUAAUCCGCAGGUUGAGGGUUCGAGUCCCUCCCCCGGAGCCA